Molecule: long non-coding RNA, 657 nt
Organism: Cyprinus carpio (common carp)
Lineage: Eukaryota; Metazoa; Chordata; Actinopteri; Cypriniformes; Cyprinidae
Exons: 3
Source: RefSeq, a predicted model, not a curated record
AUGGUAUAUGUUUUUGUUGCAGCCACCCGUUUGCAGUAUUUCAACUUAUUUUUAAAAGAAUCAUGUUGAUUCAUGUAGAUCAUGAUUGGUCAGUUGGGUAAGUUUCAUGAGCCAAUUAGUGCUGUGUUGUGCAUAUAAAAGGGGGAAGUGUUUGGUUUCUUAGGAUGCAUCGUCCUUGGUACUGCCCAUUUUUGACAUGUGGCGCUUUUAAUGAGUGUUAGCAGUUGAGUUAUCAUCCUGUCUGUCGCAUACUGGUUGUUGGCCAGUUUUCAGAUAUGGGGCUGCAAGUAGCUGUAAUCCAGCGUGGUGAGCGACCAUGUGUAUUGCAGUAUUGUACCAUUUCCUUGCAGGUUUGAUUGCACAUCCAGGGGUUUCCAAUGAUCUUAAUUGAAGCCUAACGAACAAAGUAACUGACUGCACUUCUGCUUUGCUCUGUUUUGUUAUAGCUUUUUCUGGAAUUCAUCUAGGUCUGUCUGUUAUAUAUUGUUUUGUAUUGUUUGUUGUGUGGAUUUAGGUGGGAGGGGUUGGCCAUGGUACCUUGUACUGCGUUUCCACAUGGAGUGCUGUGUUUAAUACUUGGUUUUACACGAGUGUGUGUGUGUCAUGGGUAUUGAUUGUGGGGUAGAAAUCUGAGGGUCUUUGCUGGCCACCUCCGUC